UACGUAGGGGGCUAGCGUUGUCCGGAAUCAUUGGGCGUAAAGCGCGUGUAGGCGGUCCGGUAAGUCCGCUGUGAAAGUCGAGGGCUCAACCCUCGAAUGCCGGUGGAUACUGUCGGGCUUGAGUACGGGAGAGGCGAGUGGAAUUCCUGGUGUAGCGGUGAAAUGCGCAGAUAUCAGGAGGAACACCGAUUGCGAAGGCAGCUCGCUGGAACGUUACUGACGCCGAGACGCGAAAGCGUGGGGAGCAAACAGG
This 253-nucleotide ribosomal RNA is filed under the name uncultured bacterium. RNAcentral's name for it is "partial 16S ribosomal RNA". It matches the Rfam family "Bacterial small subunit ribosomal RNA", at positions 524 to 776 of the family's 1533-position model. The record is from RNAcentral.